Molecule: long non-coding RNA, 4298 nt
Organism: Cebus imitator (Panamanian white-faced capuchin)
Lineage: Eukaryota; Metazoa; Chordata; Mammalia; Primates; Cebidae
Exons: 2
Source: RefSeq, a predicted model, not a curated record
CAUGUUGGAUAGGCUGGUCUUGAACUCCAGACCUUACGAUCUGCCUGCCUUGGCCUCCCAAAGUGCUAGGAUUACAGGCAUGAGCCACCACGCCCAGCGCAGGAUAGUAUAUUUUUAUAGUACUUCCCUUACUGAUUGCUGCCUUCUCUGUGGCUCCAAGGGACCAACAGAGUUACAGGAAAGCAGGUUUCAUCUCAGUAUUAGGAGAUAUUUCAAGCAUCAGACCUGCCUAAGAAGGAAUGGGCUGUCACUAGGAAUUUUUAUUCCCAGUCAGUCAGGAAUUUUGUAGAAGGGAUUCAUGUGCUGGUACCAAUAGGACAGGAACAUUUUAAUCAGCUUUACUUUCUAUGUUUCUUUGUGGAAACGGUGUGUGUAUGUGUACAUACAUUUUCCAAAAAGGAAAAUUAAAUGAUUAUAGAGAUUAUGUUUUUCAGACUACCCACAUAUCUGCUGUUCUUACUCCCCACUUCUGCUGAUGAUUCCUAGAUCAUUAGCUUUUCACCCACACUGGAAUUACCUGGAAAGUUUUAAGAACCCUGAUGACUGGGUCCCACCCUCAGAGAUGAUUGAACCAGCCUGGCCAGCAUGGCGAAACCCUGUCUCUACUAUGAUAUGAGGGCAGCCUGGGCACUGGGAAAUUUAAAAGCUCCCCAGAGAAUUCUGUGCAGCCAAAGUUGAGGCCUCCUGGUCUAGAGCUUUGCUAUACACAGUGUGGUCCACAAGCCAAGAGCAUCAGCAUCACUUGGCAGCCCCUUAGAGAUUCAGACCCCUGGCCCACUGAAUCUGUCCAUGUAUUUUCACUAGACCCCAGGUGACCAACUGCACUUGACUCAACCUCUAAACCAUGACCUUCCACCCUCACAAUCUGUGAUCCUUUCGUGACCCUCAGCUGAGUCUGUGCUGAACUGUGUUUGCUCUCUUUGAGCAAAGCCCGCUGAUCAGAGACAGCCUGGAUGAGCAAGAAGCCUGCUAGCUAUGGAGAGGAGCCAGGCUGAGUAAAUGCUGUGACUAAGCCAGGAUCAGAGAACUGACUGUUGCUUGCACUGGCUGGCAUUGAGCUUGCCACUCUGUGAGCUGUGCUUCCUUCCCCUGCAGGGCCCUGUGCCUCAGUCCCUAUUAUCCACAGGCCUCCUCCAAGGGCAGCCCUCUCCCCGUUAAUCCCCCUUAAGCCUGAGUGCAGGAAGGCACAUGAACCUUGCGGCACCCUGCAGGCAGGAGGGUGUCGGGUGCCCUGAGCUACCUUGCCCUUUUUCUUGUACUGUAAGCAGUGCCGUUUCUGAGUUCGUGUACGUGUGUGUAGAAGCGCUGCACCCACCUUGUGUUAUUGGGGGUUGUGUAUCCCCCCAGCUUUGAGCCUGGUCUCAGCUGUUCCUUUCCUGUUCUCUGUCCAGUCGUUACUGCCCCCAGUCUGUAAUAAAAUCCUGUCAGCUGUGCACUUUAUUGAUGUUCAACCCUGUCUGGUCUCCCUCGACCCCCAAGGAGGGGACUUGAGGAAAUUUAAUAGACUUUUCUGCCCCCUCAUUUCUCCGCAUCAAGUAGGCCUAUGUCCAGCAGGGGGAGCCCGUCGCACAGGGUCGGCCCCUUCCGGGCAGUGAAGGCCAGUUCUAGCCGGCCUCCCUUGCCUCCCGCUUCCUCUGCUUGGGCCGCGUCCCAGUGAAACUGUGGUCGAUAACCGGCAGCCUCUCCCAGUUCCCGCACAUAUUUACGCUCUCGGUUCCUCCUCUUUCCCUGUUCUCAUAAAAACUUGCAGCUGCCUCACUCUGCUUCCCUGGGCAGUCAGAUCUCCCUUUGGCUUCUAGUAUCUACCCCAUAUCCAUCUGGCACCCCAGCUUAGAAACACAGGUGGACUUUACCUAGAAGAUGGAGCUGGGGUCAGCAUGCAAGGGUCAGAGGGGUUGUGGACACUCUUACCCAGAGUGGUGAUGGUAAGAUUGGAGGAGGUGGUAGUACAGUACCAGUGUUAUCUAGAACCUUAGGUUGGUGGCCCAGGACCCAACCUUAUUGCUCCCCACUCAGGGAAACUGAGAAUGGGCGGAUGUGGGAGAUGCCUGUAGUCUGGGGUCUUAGGGGACACUCUGCUUCAAAGCUGGUUGGCUUUAUCCCAAUGCUUCCAGAGUUUGUCCAGCCUCCUCAAACGAUGCUCACCUCCCAGGAUCCAAGACCCAGACGUUGCUCCCUCCCCUCCCCACUUCCCCUUCUGCAGAAGGUGUCUGUGCUUUUCUUUGUUCUGAACUUCAGUUUCCUGUUCCCACAGCAGCUCCUGGAGUCACGGUGAACCUGAAACCCAGCCCCUCCCAGCUAAGUAAACAGAAGCAGAGGCCGGCUCAGGCUAAUGAAUAUUCAUCAUGCUGGAAAUUCAAUCCUAGCGCCCAUGCGUCCACCCAGAAGCCGGGGACCUCCGGGGGACUGCCACGCUGGAGGAGGGAAUCCCAAGGGAGAUCUGGAGUGGCGGAGCACAGGAGGCUGUCUCUCAGUUUCCCCACUGUUGGGUGUCUGGUUGCACUUCCCAGCUGUAGCCAAGGUCACUCUACGCAUUUCAUCUUUCAAGGAAGCUCAGAUCCCUCUCCAGCAUGGACCACCACCUGGAUGUUGCCCAGAGCACAACCGGGAAAGGGUUAAGGGCUGCUGCUUCCAUUGGCAGGCUGGGUAGGACAGGGUGCACCCCAGCUUCCUUUGAACUCCCUGAGUCGAAACCAGUCCCUGGUUAAACUGGUUGGCAGACCGGUUCCCAGGCUGUCACUCCCCUGCCUGAAGCCUCAAAGUGGGGACUGGGUUGGGGGCUGUGGCUUCCUCCUGACCCAAGGAGCCCCUCCUUAAAAUCUCCCUAGGUAGAAAAAAAGGGGUACCAGCCUCUCCUCGGGUCAGGCUCUCAAGACCCACCACAACCUCAAACACUGUCAUCCCUCUCCCCCUUUGCUUGGAGGUGGGCUUCAAGGCCCUUGAGAUCAUAUGCAGAAUUCCAUGUUUGUGGGCAGGGGCAUUGAUUUUUCUGCAUAGAUUAUACUCGUAGCAGACUCUCAAAGAGACUUGUGACAGUCUCUCCAUUAGCAAAGUACCACUGGCUUCAACUCCUCCCAGCAGUCAAUCGAAAGGGCCUUCCUGGGUAUUAUAAAGUUGGCAAAACCUGGAGCAAGUUCUCAAGGAAAGGAGAGAUAGGCCCCUAGUGAGGCUGGAAGAGAAGGAAAGGCAAGAAGGCAGGAGAUGGGCACAUGGUUGGGGACAGGGGCAGAGUGUGUGCACACAGGGGGCGAUCGUCCUCUCUGAUCUGCAGCCACACUCCCCCUGUAAACCCACCAUCGGCCAAGCCUGUGUGCAGCCCUCAGCCAGGGCUGCUCUUGCAGAUGGCUCUGUGCCUGGGGAGCAUUGCUGUGCAGCCACCAAGGGGUGGCCUCUCCUGUUUGCACUUGCGUUCUCUCUCCCCUUGGAUGGGCAUCGCUGGAGAGUAGAAAACAUCUGCUGCAUACUCAAUGUCUCUGCCACUCCUGGGCCCACUGCAGCCCAGCUCAGGUGCCAAUCCAAGCACCAGCUACCUUCCUUCAUGGACUGGGGAUGUGCGUGUCAGGCACAGAGUGAGGCAUGAGGUAGAGAAAGGCAUAAAAUCCCCCCUUUCCCUGGCUCUCCCUCUAAGUUACAUUGGAAAUCCCAGCUCACUAACUCUAAGAGCUGUCCUCCAUCUCCAAUCCUGCUUCUACCCACUCCAGCUUCUGAUGGCCUCUUGGGUUUGUAUUCUCCAUCUGAAACAGCCCCUCUUCCCUUAAAAUGUCCUUGGGUGGACAGUCCUCCAAAGGCUCCCCACAGCCCAUAGCAGAACCCACUUGGCCUGGCUCUCCUAGGAUGGGACCUCUGCAGCCUCCUCUCACGCCCACCCCGCCAUGUCAACUGUCCCUGAACAGUAGACGCUUCUCUGCCUGCCUUGGUAGGCACAAGGCUGCCUUAGAACGGUGGGAUUAGAAGUGCUGGCUGUGCUCUUGGGUAGCAAUGUCCUCCCCAUCACCUGUGUGACCCAAAACAAACUCCUAUUCAUCCCUCAAAACCUGAAUUAAUGAUUACACCUUCCACCCUACCAGACGUUUUCUUGUUUUCCUUUCUGUGUUCCCAUAGAACCUGCUCAUAUACUUCUAUUUAACAUGAUAUAUAUACCAUUAUUGAUUUCCACUUAUAAACUUUUAGCUCUUUGAGCCCAGAAUUAUGUAUCACUGAUACAGGCCUGACAUAUAGUAGGUACUUAUGCAAGCCUGAAAAUACAAAUGAGAAACACAAACAUUGUUUUUACCCAAAUAAACUGUUAAUGUAGCCAA